This 471-nucleotide ribosomal RNA is filed under the name uncultured bacterium. RNAcentral's name for it is "bacterial SSU rRNA". It matches the Rfam family "Bacterial small subunit ribosomal RNA", at positions 8 to 507 of the family's 1533-position model. The record is from RNAcentral.
AGAGUUUGAUCAUGGCUCAGGAUGAACGCUGGCGGCGUGCCUAACACAUGCAAGUCGAGCGAUUCUCUUCGGAGAAGAGCGGCGGACGGGUGAGUAACGCGUGGGUAACCUGCCCUGUACACACGGAUAACAUACCGAAAGGUAUGCUAAUACGAGAUAAUAUACUUUUAUCGCAUGGUAGAAGUAUCAAAGCUCCGGCGGUACAGGAUGGACCCGCGUCUGAUUAGCUAGUUGGUAAGGUAACGGCUUACCAAGGCGACGAUCAGUAGCCGACCUGAGAGGGUGAUCGGCCACAUUGGAACUGAGACACGGUCCAAACUCCUACGGGAGGCAGCAGUGGGGAAUAUUGCACAAUGGCGAAAGCCUGAUGCAGCAACGCCGCGUGAGCGAUGAAGGCCUUCGGGUCGUAAAGCUCUGUCCUCAAGGAAGAUAAUGACGGUACUUGAGGAGGAAGCCCCGGCUAACUACGUG